GUGUCAGCAGCCGCGGUAACACCGGCGGCUCGAGUGGUAACCGCUAUUAUUUGGUCUAAAGGGUCUGUAGCCGGCUUAGUCAGUCUUUUGAGAAAUCUGGCCGCUCAACGGUCAGGCGUUCAGGGGAUACUGCUAAAGCUCGAGACCGGGAGAGGUGAGAGGUACUUCAGGGGUAGGGGUGAAAUCUUGUAAUCCUUGAAGGACCACCAGUGGCGAAGGCGUCUCACCAGAACGGAUCUGACGGCAAGGGACGAAAGCUAGGGGCACGAACCGGAUUAGAUACCCGGGUAGUCCUAGCCGUAAACGAUACUCGCUAGGUGUCGGCCACGGUGCGACCGUGGUCGGUGCCGUAGGGAAGCCGUGAAGCGAGCCACCUGGGAAGUACGGCCGCAAGGCUGAA
Molecule: ribosomal RNA, 400 nt
Filed under: uncultured bacterium
Lineage: Bacteria
Description: bacterial SSU rRNA
Rfam family: Archaeal small subunit ribosomal RNA
Source: RNAcentral